UCUAGUGGCGAACGGGUGAGUAACACGUGGGUAACCUGCCCAUCAGAGGGGGAUAACAUCCGGAAACGGAUGCUAAAACCGCAUAGGUCUUCGAGCCGCAUGGCUUGAAGAGGAAAAGAGGCGCAAGCUUCUGCUGAUGGAUGGACCCGCGGUGCAUUAGCUAGUUGGUGAGGUAACGGCUCACCAAGGCAGUGAUGCAUAGCCGACCUGAGAGGGUGAUCGGCCACAUUGGGACUGAGACACGGCCCAAACUCCUACGGGAGGCAGCAGUAGGGAAUCUUCCGCAAUGGACGCAAGUCUGACGGAGCAACGCCGCGUGAGUGAAGAAGGUUUUCGGAUCGUAAAACUCUGUUGUUAGAGAAGAACAAGUGCUAGAGUAACUGUUAGCGCCUUGACGGUAUCUAACCAGAAAGCCACGGCUAACUACGUGCCAGCAGCCGCGGUAAUACGUAGGUGGCAAGCGUUGUCCGGAUUUAUUGGGCGUAAAGCGAGCGCAGGCGGUUCCUUAAGUCUGAUGUGAAAGCCCUCGGCUCAACCGGGGAGGGUCAUUGGAAACUGGGGAACUUGAGUGCAGAAGAGGAGAGUGGAAUUCCAUGUGUAGCGGUGAAAUGCGUAGAUAUAUGGAGGAACACCAGUGGCGAAGGCGACUCUCUGGUCUGU
This 660-nucleotide ribosomal RNA is filed under the name uncultured Bacilli bacterium. RNAcentral's name for it is "bacterial SSU rRNA". It matches the Rfam family "Bacterial small subunit ribosomal RNA", at positions 91 to 737 of the family's 1533-position model. Lineage: Bacteria; Bacillati; Bacillota; Bacilli. The record is from RNAcentral.